This 240-nucleotide long non-coding RNA is filed under the name Gossypium barbadense (sea-island cotton). RNAcentral's name for it is "long non-coding RNA (GBAR_LNC011342)". Lineage: Eukaryota; Viridiplantae; Streptophyta; Magnoliopsida; Malvales; Malvaceae. The record is from RNAcentral.
GACGUUGGUAUUGAGGGUGUUCGCGAUGGUCAUUAUUCCCCUCACUCGAACCUUCAUUCACAGCAUCUAUCGUCGAACCUUAGGGUGUAUUUAACAAACUUAAAAAAUUGUAUGUCUUAAAGGUUUUACAUUUAAGGUCGAUUUCCUCCCUUAAGUCCAUUUUACCAUGAAUCCUGGUAACAUACGAGUGACCUUUGGGCUUCUUAUGUAACCCUAUGUCUGGGACCAGCUCAAAAGUUG